GGGGUCUGAUGCCCGAGUUCACACAGGAAGCCAAUGCAAGAGCAGCAGCUUUUCUCCUGGGUCUCACAUUGGCAUUUGGACAGCUGAACCCAGCUUCCUGCACUCUGAGCUCAAGCAGGACACAGAGACACAUUCAUUUGGCCAAGGGAUGGUGACUCCAUGAAGAUAAGACCAUUGGCUCUCUAUGAGAAAAAAAAAAGUUUUUCUCAAAUGCAGGAUAUGGAUCUGUCAUAAAAAAGAUUUUAAAGAGAUGAAGAGGAGGGAAGAAAAAUUAUUACAAAAAUUGUUAAAGGUAAUACAGUUAAUAAUCAACAUGUAUAUUUCAAUUCCACUUUUAUUGAAUAUAGAAAUCUAUCAAAGUCGUAUUUACUGUAGCUGAAAGGGG
This 385-nucleotide long non-coding RNA is filed under the name Chrysolophus pictus (golden pheasant). Its description in RNAcentral is "lncRNA (ENSCPIG00010011123.1)". Lineage: Eukaryota; Metazoa; Chordata; Aves; Galliformes; Phasianidae. The record is from RNAcentral.